RNAcentral lists this ribosomal RNA (752 nucleotides) under Heterosigma akashiwo. RNAcentral's name for it is "partial Bacterial large subunit ribosomal RNA". It matches the Rfam family "Bacterial large subunit ribosomal RNA", at positions 1763 to 2505 of the family's 2925-position model. Lineage: Eukaryota; Raphidophyceae; Chattonellales; Chattonellaceae. The record is from RNAcentral.
AAAAGCAAUGAUGGCCGCAGAGACCAGGCCCAAGCGACUGUUUACUAAAAACACAGGUCCGUGCGAAGUCGCAAGACGAUGUAUACGGACUGACGCCUGCCCGGUGCUGGAAGGUUAAGAGGACCGGUUAGUGACCUUUUAGGUUGCGAAGCUGAGAAUUUAAGCCCCAGUAAACGGCGGUGGUAACUAUAACCAUCCUAAGGUAGCGAAAUUCCUUGUCGGGUAAGUUCCGACCUGCACGAAUGGCGUAACGAUGGCCACACUGUCUCCUCCCGAGACUCAGCGAAGUUGAAAUGUUUGUGAUGAUGCAAUCUACCCGCGGCUAGACGGAAAGACCCCAUGAACCUUUACUGUAGCUUUGCAUUGGACUUUGAACCGAUCUGUGUAGGAUAGGUGGGAGGCUUUGAAGCGGGGACGCCAGUUCUCGUGGAGCCAUCCUUGAAAUACCACCCUGGUUUGUUUGAGGUUCUAACCUUGGUCCGUUAUCCGGAUCGGGGACAGUGCAUGGUAGGCAGUUUGACUGGGGCGGUCUCCUCCCAAAGUGUAACGGAGGAGUUCGAAGGUACGCUAGGUACGGUCGGACAUCGUGCUAAUAGUGCAAUGGCAUAAGCGUGCUUAACUGCGAGACCGACAAGUCGAGCAGGUACGAAAGUAGGACAAAGUGAUCCGGUGGUUCUGUAUGGAAGGGCCAUCGCUCAACGGAUAAAAGGUACUCUGGGGAUAACAGGCUGAUACCGCCCAAGAGUUCAUAU